RNAcentral lists this ribosomal RNA (443 nucleotides) under uncultured bacterium. Its description in RNAcentral is "partial 16S ribosomal RNA". It matches the Rfam family "Bacterial small subunit ribosomal RNA", at positions 28 to 507 of the family's 1533-position model. The record is from RNAcentral.
GAUGAACGCUGGCGGCAUGCCUAACACAUGCAAGUCGAUCGGUAAGGCUCUUCGGAGUACACGAGAGGCGGACGGCUGAGUAACGCGUAGGAACACACCCUGCAGUGAGGGAUAAGACACCGAAAGGUGUUCUAAUACCGCAUACGGUCUUCGGAUUAAAGCAUUUAUGCGCUGAAGGAGUGGCCUGCGUCAUAUUAGAUAGUUGGUGAGGUAAUGGCUCACCAAGUCGAUGAUGUGUAGCUGGUCUGAGAGGAUGAUCAGCCAGACUGGAACUGAGACACAGUCCAGACUCCUACGGGAGGCAGCAGUGAGGAAUAUUUCACAAUGAGCGAAAGCUUGAUGGAGCAAUGCCGCGUGCAGGAUGAAGGCCCUCGGGUUGUAAACUGCUUUUAUAAGAGAAGAUUAUGACGGUAACUUAUGAAUAAGGGACGGCUAACUACGUG